Molecule: ribosomal RNA, 497 nt
Filed under: uncultured bacterium
Lineage: Bacteria
Description: partial 16S ribosomal RNA
Rfam family: Bacterial small subunit ribosomal RNA
Source: RNAcentral
GACGAACGCUGGCGGCGUGCCUAAUACAUGCAAGUUGAGCGAUGAAGAUUGGUGCUUGCACCAAUUUGAAGAGCAGCGAACGGGUGAGUAACGCGUGGGGAAUCUGCCUUUGAGCGGGGGACAACAUUUGGAAACGAAUGCUAAUACCGCAUAACAACUUUAAACAUAAGUUUUAAGUUUGAAAGAUGCAAUUGCAUCACUCAAAGAUGAUCCCGCGUUGUAUUAGCUAGUUGGUGAGGUAAAGGCUCACCAAGGCGAUGAUACAUAGCCGACCUGAGAGGGUGAUCGGCCACACUGGGACUGAGACACGGCACAAACUGCUACGGGAGGCAGCAGUAGGGAAUCUUCGGCAAUGGACGAAAGUCUGACCGAGAAACGCCGCGUGAGUGAAGAAGGUUUUCGGAUCGUAAAACUCUGUUGGUAGAGAAGAACGUUGGUGAGAGUGGAAAGCUCAUCAAGUGACGGUAACUACUCAGAAAGGGACGGCUAACUACGUG